This 253-nucleotide ribosomal RNA is filed under the name uncultured bacterium. RNAcentral's name for it is "partial 16S ribosomal RNA". It matches the Rfam family "Bacterial small subunit ribosomal RNA", at positions 524 to 776 of the family's 1533-position model. The record is from RNAcentral.
UACGAAGGGUGCAAGCGUUGCUCGGAAUCAUUGGGCGUAAAGGGUAGGUAGGUGGUCUCAUUUGUCUGGGGUGAAAUCCUUGAGCUUAACUCAAGAAGUGCCCUAGAAACGGUGAGACUGGAGUCCUGGAGAGGGUCGUGGAAUUCCCGGUGUAGCGGUGAAAUGCGUAGAGAUCGGGAGGAACACCAGAGGCGAAGGCGGCGACCUGGACAGGUACUGACACUCAACUACGAAAGCGUGGGGAGCAAACAGG